Molecule: ribosomal RNA, 398 nt
Filed under: Scolytus laevis
Lineage: Eukaryota; Metazoa; Arthropoda; Insecta; Coleoptera; Curculionidae
Description: partial 28S large subunit ribosomal RNA
Source: RNAcentral
AGAGUACGUGAAACCGUUUAGGGGUAAACCUGAGAAACCCGAAAAGUCGAAGGGAGAAAUUCACCGCGGUUCGACGAAGGUGACGUAUCGACGCGUGACUGCGCUCUUCGGACGCGCGGCACCGUCGAUUCGUUUUUUUAUCGACGACGAACGCGUGCACUUUUCUCCCGGUAGGACGUCGCGAUCCGUUGGGCGUCGGUCUACGGCUGACGGUGGAGCCCGCGAGUCGUUCUUCGGAACGUACGCGCGGACCCGUUUGCACCCUGACCGACUCGCUCGACGGUAUACGAACGGUUUGGGGCCGCUUUUAAAGCGUUCGACUCCGGCUUUCGGGCCGCGAUGUCUCGGACAGACCCUAAAAACCGAUCUGCGACGCUAUAGCUUUGGGUACUUUCAGG